AUGGUCUCGAUCUCCUGACCUCGUGAUCCGCCCGCCUCGGCCUCCCAAAGUGCUGGGAUUACAGGCGUGAGCCACCGCGCCCGGCCGGAACUAGUACUCUUGCAAGAAAAUCACUGGGAGAUGAUUUAGGAGGAGGAGCACAACUUUAGGUUUGAAUAUGAAAUUGGAACAAGUGUACUCAUAGGCUCAGCAUUCACUCUCUUAUCCCAGUCCCCUCCUGCUUUUUGGCUUAUUCUCUUUAUUAUUCAUGCACAAGAUGUUCCCUCUCUUUUCACUCUCACAGAAUCAUGCAUUGUUUUGAGGUUGAAAUUGUCUUUCUUAUCUUUGUAUUCCUUACAGUAAACACACAUAAUAAGGAUUCAACAAUAUUUUUCAAAGGAAAUAAAACAUCAAGCCCAGGGGCCACUGAUUUAAUUGCUCUCUUGAGCAAGUCCAUUCAUGGCUCUAAAUGUCUAUUUACUAUGGUUAUUCAUGAUGUUGAUGAAUGUCUCAGCAACUACCAUUAACUGAGCACUUCUACUCGAUGCAGACUAUUGUGUUGUGCUGAGUUUUACCUUCAUUCUUCGUUUCACUUAGUCCUCAUAACAAUCCUUAGAGGGUGUCAACAGAGGCAACAAAAGGAAAGUGGGCAAACCUUUAAUAUGCAAGGUCUCUUCUCAUUAUGCAGAGAACAAUGGCCACUGAACCUACAUCCAAUCAAACCAAGUCUGCUCGAGCUGCAGAAGUGCAAAUCCUUGGUCCCUAGACAUUAAUCAUUUCCAUACAUGAAUGAGAAGCUUGUGGGGAUAGGUAGUUUUAUUUAUAAGCCAACACAUACUCACUCCCGCUCCCUCCAUACAUACACAUAAGCUUCAGCCUUUUUAAGACACAAGGGUGUCUUUCAGUUUACCUACUUUUUUAGACCUGUGUGGAUAUAAGGAUUACAGGUUUCCUGCCUGUCCAGGAAGAGUGAUCACUUUGCUCUCUAAGAACUUAACUCCCAGGCUUAAUUAUUAUGCGAGUGUGCAAGUGUAUUAAGCAUGUAGGCCAAAAGCAAUUUAAAGUCUAUGCUGCAUUGACUUUCAAAUUAUUUCAUUUCUAAUUCAGAUGCAUGCUUUGUUAAGGCAUUUAUCACUGUUAUAUCAUCAGCCAGAUUGUUCCAUGACUACAGUCCCUCAAAACCUCUAUCCCCACCGGGUCCACAUCAGGAGCACUAAAUGACAUCCCCUACCCUCGUACGUUGAGUCAAGCUUGGAGUCUCCUCCCCAAGUGCCUCACUUCAUCUUUCGAUGUAUCUCCCACUGGUGGAAAAUGUAUCAAACACUGCAUAUCUCAUCAGCAAGACCAUUUGUUUCUCCUUACUAAGGCAUUGUGGUGCUCCUAGAAAGGUGGACACAGUUUCACGCCCGCACUCAGAAUUCCUUGAAACUAGUCAAAUGACUUUCAUCAGUAAAUCAGAUAUUACUUCCUUGAAUAUGUUGGAUUCUUAGAAAAAUUAAUGAAUACAAAGAUUCUAUAGUCUUGGAACGUGAGGAAUUAACAGAUAACCAAAGCAUCUUAAAGCCAUACCUAAUGUCAGUAAUCUAUCCCUUGUAAACGUAAAUCUAACGAUGUCUAUACUAACAGCUUCUAAAGGACCAAUAGUCCUUCCCCAUCCAGACCUCUUAACCUCAAUGAAGACUAUUCCCACCAUACAUGCCACAUAUUAAACCUGUAUCUGGGAGGAGGAGAGAGUUUCUGGGAUAUGGAGAAAGACAAUAUUUUUGCUGUUCCUUUGUCCUUAACAUUUUUAUUUUGUCUUGAUAUUUUUACUUAUUCCAUGAUUUUGCAGCUAAAGAAUGGAGUCGGAGAUGGAGCAGAGAGAAUAUUUGGAAAAUAACUAAAAUUAGCAGCAGAUGCAAACUGUGCACUUACAGUCAGUAGCAGAAUAAAAAAUCUGGGCUUUUGGUACUGAUUUGGUAUGACCUUCUUCUUUCUCAUUUUGAAACCUCUUACUGCUGCCAGAGAAACCAACAACACUCUUUGCACUAUGUUACACUCAAGGUAGCUGAAAAACUUCAUCAAUAAGUAUCCUGAGGUUUAAGCCAACCAAUAAAAUUAAAGAAAAGAAAGUCAUUACAGUAGGAUGUGUGAUUUAGGGCCAACAUGAAAAGCAACGAAGAGAACUCUGUAUGUCACUAAUGGAAACUUGGCCAGUUCCUACCUACUAAUAAAUAAUGUGCUGUUAAGCUGAGAGCUAAAUAUUUGGGUGAGGAUUUGGAGAUUCCAGAAAUCCUGAAACUAAUUAAGACAUAAAUAUGAGGAUCCUGAAAAGUUCAAGGAUAGAUUAGGGGGAAUGAAUGCACCAGCAAGAUGACCUCACUCUCCAGCAAACAGGCUCAGGUGAGGUAGGACAUUGAAAUGGAACUGGGUCCCUGGAGGACAUGAAGGAAGCUGAAACAGAGUGUGUGGGAUCUAAGAAGGAAAAAUUUGUAUUUUUGUGUACUUUUGGUUUUCGAUCCUUAUACUGAUCUACUUGUAUCAAG
RNAcentral lists this long non-coding RNA (2504 nucleotides) under Homo sapiens (human). Its description in RNAcentral is "HSALNT0214145". Lineage: Eukaryota; Metazoa; Chordata; Mammalia; Primates; Hominidae. The record is from RNAcentral.